AGUAAAGUGCCUGAGUAAAGGAUUAUCGUGAUAGGAUAAAUUAUGUAACUUCUAUUACCUUUACUA
RNAcentral lists this transfer RNA (66 nucleotides) under Geoscapheus rugulosus. Its description in RNAcentral is "tRNA-Ile". Lineage: Eukaryota; Metazoa; Arthropoda; Insecta; Blattodea; Blaberidae. The record is from RNAcentral.